GGUAUACACCAAUUGCAAAAUGCAAUAUACAAACAAUUGAGCCGAUAUAUCUUGUUGAGAUUGACGAAAUCAUCACCAGCAUCUAGCUGUUGAUUGACAAAAUGCACUAAUGCAAAGAGUUGAAGUGAGCAUGUUCCACCAAAGAGAACAUAGACAACUUAGGUAAGUUUAGUUCGCGGGUGGGAUCAUUUAAAUGCACAAUAUACAUCUUUUUCAUAGAUUUGCAGCAACGUAAGAACAUACUCCCU
RNAcentral lists this long non-coding RNA (248 nucleotides) under Setaria viridis. Its description in RNAcentral is "long non-coding RNA (SVIR_LNC007261)". The record is from RNAcentral. Lineage: Eukaryota; Viridiplantae; Streptophyta; Magnoliopsida; Poales; Poaceae.